UACGUAGGAUCCAAGCGUUGUCCGGAUUUACUGGGCGUAAAGCGUGCGCAGGCGGCUUCUCAAGUCAGGGGUGAAAGCCCAGAGCUCAACUCUGGAAUUGCCUUUGAGACUGAGUGGCUUGAGUACGAGAGAGGUGAGUGGAAUUCCCAGUGUAGAGGUGAAAUUCGUAGAUAUUGGGAAGAACACCGGUGGCGAAGGCGGCUCACUGGCUCGUAACUGACGCUCAUGCACGACAGCGUGGGGAUCAAACAGG
Molecule: ribosomal RNA, 253 nt
Filed under: uncultured bacterium
Lineage: Bacteria
Description: partial 16S ribosomal RNA
Rfam family: Bacterial small subunit ribosomal RNA
Source: RNAcentral